AAGGGGCAACGCGUUAUCGGUGCCCACGGGCGUUUCUCGCCCAGGGUUAAACGGGAAACAGGUGCGCGGCCCCUCGCAAAAGAGGCCGCAAUGCCUGUGCUGCCCCCGCAACGGUAAGUGCGCGCAAGGUGGGUCAUGCAGCCACUGGGUCCUCGACCCGGGAAGGCGAUCCAUCCGUCCGGCUCUGCCGGCACAGCGCACGAGCCCGGAGACCGGCCGGAGCGCGAAAUGGCGG
This 235-nucleotide non-coding RNA is filed under the name Thauera sp. The record is from RNAcentral. Lineage: Bacteria; Pseudomonadati; Pseudomonadota; Betaproteobacteria; Rhodocyclales; Zoogloeaceae.